AGGGUUUGAUCAUGGCUCAGGAUGAACGCUGGCGGCGUGCCUAACACAUGCAAGUUGAGCGAUUUACUUCGGUAAAGAGCGGCGGACGGGUGAGUAACGCGUGGGUAACCUACCCUGUACACACGGAUAACAUACCGAAAGGUAUGCUAAUACGGGAUAAUAUAUUUGAGAGGCAUCUCUUAAAUAUCAAAGGUGAGCUAGUACAGGAUGGACCCGCGUCUGAUUAGCUAGUUGGUAAGGUAACGGCUUACCAAGGCGACGAUCAGUAGCCGACCUGAGAGGGUGAUCGGCCACAUUGGAACUGAGACACGGUCCAA
Molecule: ribosomal RNA, 317 nt
Filed under: uncultured bacterium
Lineage: Bacteria
Description: bacterial SSU rRNA
Rfam family: Bacterial small subunit ribosomal RNA
Source: RNAcentral